This 505-nucleotide ribosomal RNA is filed under the name uncultured bacterium. Its description in RNAcentral is "partial 16S ribosomal RNA". It matches the Rfam family "Bacterial small subunit ribosomal RNA", at positions 28 to 507 of the family's 1533-position model. The record is from RNAcentral.
GACGAACGCUGGCGGCGUGCCUAAUACAUGCAAGUAGAACGCACAGUUUAUACCGUAGCUUGCUACACCAUAGACUGUGAGUUGCGAACGGGUGAGUAACGCGUAGGUAACCUGCCUGGUAGCGGGGGAUAACUAUUGGAAACGAUAGCUAAUACCGCAUCAUAUUGAUUAUUGCAUGAUAAUUGAUUGAAAGAUGCUAUUGCAUCACUACCAGAUGGACCUGCGUUGGAUUAGCUAGUAGGGGAGGUAACGGCCCACCUAGGCGACGAUACAUAGCCGAGCCGGGAGGGUGGUCGGCCAACCUGGGACUGGGACACGGCCCAGACUCCUACGGGAGGCAGCCGGAGGGAAUCUUCGGCAAUGGACGAAAGUCUGACCGAGCAACGCCGCGGGAGUGAAGAAGGGUUUCGGAUCGUAAAGCUCUGUUGUAAGAGAAGAACGGGUGGGAGAGUGGAAAGUUCACACUGUGACGGUAUCUUACCAGAAAGGGACGGCUAACUACGUG